RNAcentral lists this ribosomal RNA (496 nucleotides) under uncultured bacterium. RNAcentral describes it as "partial 16S ribosomal RNA". It matches the Rfam family "Bacterial small subunit ribosomal RNA", at positions 30 to 523 of the family's 1533-position model. The record is from RNAcentral.
AUUGAACGCUGGCGGAAUGCUUUACACAUGCAAGUCGAACGGUAGAGGGGGCAACCCCUCGAGAGUGGCGAACGGGUGAGUAAUAUAUCGGAACGUGCCCAGUCGUGGGGGAUAACGUAGCGAAAGUUACGCUAAUACCGCAUACGAUCUAAGGAUGAAAGCGGGGGAUCGCAAGACCUCGCGCGAUUGGAGCGGCCGAUAUCAGAUUAGGUAGUUGGUGGGGUAAAGGCUCACCAAGCCAACGAUCUGUAGCUGGUCUGAGAGGACGACGAGCCACACUGGAACUGAGACACGGUCCAGACUCCUACGGGAGGAAGCAGUGGGGAAUUUUGGCCAAUGGACGAAAGUCUGAUCCAGCCAUUCCGCGUGCAGGAUGAAGGCCCUCGGGUUGUAAACUGCUUUUGUACAGAACGAAAAGGUUUCUACUAAUACUAGGAGCUCAUGACGGUACUGUAAGAAUAAGCACCGGCUAACUACGUGACAGCCGCCGCUGUAA